CCCGAUUGCCCCAGUAACGGCGAGUGAAGCGGCAACAGCUCAAAUUUGAAAUCUGGUCCCUAGGGCCCGAGUUGUAAUUUGUAGAGGAUGCUUUUGGUGAGGUGCCGCCCGAGUUCCCUGGAACGGGACGCCACAGAGGGUGAGAGCCCCGUCUGGCUGGCCGCCGAGCCUCUGUAAAGCUCCUUCGACGAGUCGAGUAGUUUGGGAAUGCUGCUCAAAAUGGGAGGUAUAUGUCUUCUAAAGCUAAAUAUUGGCCAGAGACCGAUAGCGCACAAGUAGAGUGAUCGAAAGAUGAAAAGCACCUUGAAAAGAGGGUUAAAUAGUACGUGAAAUUGUUGAAAGGGAAGCGCUUGUGACCAGACUUGGGCGCGGCGGAUCAUCCGGGGUUCUCUCCGGUGCACUUCGCCGCGUCUAGGCCAGGAUCUGUUCGUCGCGGGGGAAAAAGGCUUCGGGAACGUGGCUCCUCCGGGAGUGUUAUAGCCCGUUGCAUAAUACCCUGCGGUGGACUGAGGACCGCGCAUCUGCAAGGAUGCUGGCGUAAUGGUCACCAGCGACCCGUCUUGAAACACGGACCAAGGAGUCGUCUUCGUAUGCGAGUGUUCGGGUGUCAAACCCCUACGCGUAAUGAAAGUGAACGCAGGUGAGAGCUUCGGCGCAUCAUCGACCGAUCCUGAUGUUCUCGGAUGGAUUUGAGUAAGAGCAUACGGGGCCGGACCCGAAAGAAGGUGAACUAUGCCUGUAUAGGGUGAAGCCAGAGGAAACUCUGGUGGAGGCUCGCAGCGGUUCUGACGUGCAAAUCGAUCGUCAAAUAUGGGCAUGGGGGCGAAAGACUAAU
This 835-nucleotide ribosomal RNA is filed under the name Trichoderma sp. EMFR. RNAcentral's name for it is "eukaryotic LSU rRNA". It matches the Rfam family "Eukaryotic large subunit ribosomal RNA", at positions 70 to 935 of the family's 3401-position model. Lineage: Eukaryota; Fungi; Ascomycota; Sordariomycetes; Hypocreales; Hypocreaceae. The record is from RNAcentral.